ACCUCUGUGGUGUAGUGGUAGCACGCGCCUCCGGUAUGGAUGGAACGCGGGUUCAACUCCCGUCUAAAGUC
Molecule: non-coding RNA, 71 nt
Organism: Parelaphostrongylus tenuis
Lineage: Eukaryota; Metazoa; Nematoda; Chromadorea; Rhabditida; Metastrongylidae
Source: the annotation of a GenBank genome assembly